Molecule: ribosomal RNA, 253 nt
Filed under: uncultured bacterium
Lineage: Bacteria
Description: partial 16S ribosomal RNA
Rfam family: Bacterial small subunit ribosomal RNA
Source: RNAcentral
UACGAAGGACCCGAGCGUUAUCCGGAUUUAUUGGGUUUAAAGGGUGCGUAGGCGGAUUAGUAAGUCAGUGGUGAAAGCCCAUCGCUUAACGGUGGAAUUGCCAUUGAUACUGCUAGUCUUGAGUAUGGUUGAGGUGGGCGGAAUGUGUCAUGUAGCGGUGAAAUGCUUAGAUAUGACCCAGAACACCAAUUGCGAAGGCAGCUCGCUAAACCAUAACUUACGCUGAUGCACGAAAGCGUGGGGAGCAAACAGG